Molecule: long non-coding RNA, 1083 nt
Filed under: Anser cygnoides (Swan goose)
Lineage: Eukaryota; Metazoa; Chordata; Aves; Anseriformes; Anatidae
Description: lncRNA (ENSACDG00005002820.1)
Source: RNAcentral
AUGUGCUCAGCUGAUUGUGCACCUGUCCUAAGCAUUUUGGAGACCCUUCACAUAGUGCUAAUCAGUACCUCUGUAUUACCAGAGACUCAGCGCAUGAAACGUACCUUCACUGCAAGUCCUGUUUGUAUGUAUGCUGCAGCCAAGACUGCUUGGAAUUUGGAAAAGUUGUUGGUCCUUUUCAAAUCAAAAGAAAGUUGCAUCUUUUUUAUGCAACCUAUAGGAUUUGGCUGUAUAAUACAGGAAAUACUUUAUUAUGUUUGUGCCCUAGGUUAUCUUGGCAGAGCUCAGUGUGGCCAGUGGAUUUUGGAUGCUCCUGAAGUCGUAAUAUCUAUGUACAGGCUGCGUGGUGUGAGGAAGCAGAGGGGACAGCAAGAGCUGGACUCGCAGCAGAAAAGGUGUGUGCUUGAAUAUAACAGCCAAGUCAAAGCAAGCAGACCUGAAACCACUAUCACCUGGCACAGUCAGCUUGAACUUAUUUGGGAGUCAGCAGCUGUAUGGUUAAUAUUAAAUAAAGACGUGAAGAGCUGUAAGUAAAUGAACACAGAAAGCCAAGUUAACUGCUUGCAUCUGAUUGGUAGCUGGUUUAUUUUUAAAAUAACUGCCUUAUUUUGUCUGAAUGUGCUUGUUACAUACCUACAUAGAAUGAUGUUUCCUUGUUAAGGUAUUAAAAAAAGUUCUAUGUGGCUUAUCCAGAGACUAUUCUGAACUAAGCAAAAAUGACAACAUUCUGAUUUUAAAACAAGCUCAGAAUUCUCUUGCUUAGAUGUUACAUGAUCCCAUUCCUUCCUGGUGUUCCUCAAAAUAUGAUUUUUUUCAAAUUUUUUUUUUUAUCUGAAAUACUUGUAAGCUAUCAUCAUGAACUUGUGCAACAGGAAUAAUUAUACCUUACUGCAUAAGAUCGUUUAUUAGCAUAAGGUUAAAUAAUUGCCAAUGAUCAUAACAUGCCUGUGUGUCUACUGGGACCCCACCUGUUAUGGUACUCCAGAACUGAAUGAAAGUAAGUGUUUUUGCACAUGAGAGGUGCUAAGAAUCUUUAUUUCAUUUAGGAAUAAACUUUUUUUUUUUUUUAAAUAAGAGAGCUUU